GUGACGGAGGCCGAAGUGGUCGAGGCAGCUGAUCGUGAGUCAGCGGGAAGCGGGUUCGAGUCCCGUCCGUCACC
This 74-nucleotide transfer RNA is filed under the name Algisphaera agarilytica. It matches the Rfam family "tRNA". From Rfam's summary of the family: Transfer RNA (tRNA) molecules are approximately 80 nucleotides in length. Their secondary structure includes four short double-helical elements and three loops (D, anti-codon, and T loops). Further hydrogen bonds mediate the characteristic L-shaped molecular structure. tRNAs have two regions of fundamental functional importance: the anti-codon, which is responsible for specific mRNA codon recognition, and the 3' end, to which the tRNAs corresponding amino acid is attached (by aminoacyl-tRNA synthetases). tRNAs cope with the degeneracy of the genetic code in two manners: having more than one tRNA (with a specific anti-codon) for a particular amino acid; and 'wobble' base-pairing, i.e. permitting non-standard base-pairing at the 3rd anti-codon position. Lineage: Bacteria; Pseudomonadati; Planctomycetota; Phycisphaerae; Phycisphaerales; Phycisphaeraceae. The record is from Rfam by way of RNAcentral.